Molecule: long non-coding RNA, 206 nt
Filed under: Penaeus japonicus
Lineage: Eukaryota; Metazoa; Arthropoda; Malacostraca; Decapoda; Penaeidae
Description: uncharacterized LOC122254066
Source: RNAcentral
GCAGCAGACCAGUUGCAACGAAGCUGAUCAACCCUCGCCCAGUGAAAUAAAUGCCAUUUCUGCCUUACUGACUGACAUUGAUCGCCGUGCUCCAGGAUGCGAGAAAAAGCAAAUUGAAAUGGCAGCACAAAAGCUGACCUUAUCGGAUUACAGUUCAAAGAAGGUCCAAGCUGCUAAAGCAAUGAAAGAGCAAGUCAACUCAAGCC